GUGGGAGGGUCUAUCAAAGCUUGUCUUAGACACCAUCAGAAAUGGCCAGAUAAGCGGGCUGCCAAUUAAAAACCAUCGAUCUGGUUUACCUUAGACACCAACUGAUUUAAUUAGUUUCAAUUAGAUCAACCUAACAGUUCAUGCUAGAUCGCUUAACCAAGAAUCAAGUCCAUUUGGUUCUCGUUAAAGACAUGGACUUGAUCAAAUAUAACUAUUGUAAUUGAUCUAGAGAAUCUUUGACAUAAUCUAAGAC
Molecule: long non-coding RNA, 253 nt
Filed under: Elaeis guineensis (African oil palm)
Lineage: Eukaryota; Viridiplantae; Streptophyta; Magnoliopsida; Arecales; Arecaceae
Description: long non-coding RNA (EGUI_LNC082356)
Source: RNAcentral